Molecule: long non-coding RNA, 354 nt
Organism: Sycon ciliatum
Lineage: Eukaryota; Metazoa; Porifera; Calcarea; Leucosolenida; Sycettidae
Exons: 3
Source: RefSeq, a predicted model, not a curated record
CAAGCACUAAGGCCGGCUGGGACACGUUAACAUUCUAUUUGUCAGUACUAGUUCCAGUCAGCUAUGGAAGAGCAGCCGAUGAUGUACAGUCCUCAGAAAUGUCCACAGCAGGGUUCUACUGUGAUGUGUUUGGCAUUCCUACUCCACGGAUUUCUUGGUUUCACAAUCUACAGCCAAUCAGCGCCUCACCUUCAGCGUUGGCAGGGAGGCUGCAGGUAUCGCCAGGCAAUUUCAAUAUGUCCAUUCAGAACCUGACGUACAGUGACAGAGGCGUGUACCAUUGUGAAGCAGAUAAUCGCGAUCCUCACUUGACAUCAGGGUCGAAUGUCACAGGGCCGCACAUGUUUCUUGAUA